GCUUUUAAAGGGGAUGAAGGGGAGGGGUAUGGGGGGGGGGUGAUUUGAUUAUCCACGACAGAUGCCUGCUCCCCACACACCCACUGAUAAUGUAUUCCCCCUAAUCCCAUCAAACUCCCAACUGCGCUGCAGGUGCACCUCUGGCCAUGAAAAUACCAGACACAUUCACCAUUCCCUGUGCACGUUGCACGGUUGACUGCACGUUCCAUCAUGUGAAAAUAAGAGCCUUAACGUAACAAUCUAUCCAGCGCAACUCUGUGCCCACCAUCAAGAAGUUGAGUAUACCUGCCAAUGAAAGGUGAAGGGUCAAAUUAUAUUAGGGACGGGAAAAGAAAUACCUUUGCUGUGUCUAACAGCAGAAAGCACAGUUUCAGACAGAGAAGACUGCAGUUAGGAGAAAACAGGAGGUGAUAUAACUGCAGAGCACGCUAAUUAAGUAGCAUAAAGGCACAUUUUCCAUAUAUCAUUUCCCCAGCAAGAGCCAAUCAAGCUUCGUGCUGAAUCCAGACCUCUGUUAAAUACAGCUGAUUUGCACAUUUACCACCACUUCAAGCUUAAUGCUUUUAAACUAAACUGUUUUAAGCCUGUACAGUUUUGUGAAGAGCACCUAGAGUAGAAUACAUUUUUGACUGAAGCAAUGGAAUCUCCACAAUGCUCACACCAAAAGAACAGACAGUGUAAAAAUGCUUUUUAACAGACAAGACAGUGCUGGGUUUGGUUUAUAAUGUCACUAAUAAAUCCACGUAUGUCUGUUUGUCUGUUCUUCUCAUCUUUUUACCUGUUCAUCUGAUCUACCUCAACAGAUCAAUUGCAGGGGGACCACAUACUUUAAUUACAAGUUUUAUAUUUUGAUAACAUGAGCCCCUAUAGGACAGCACUUAAUGACAGUGGGAAGGAAGACCUCUGUCAGAAGACUCAUGGAGGGUUAGCCAUCUGCCACAAGUGAUGGGGAGGAGUGGAAAGAGAAGCAUAAAGAGCACAACAGGACAAAAACAAGUUUAAGACAUGCAAAGUUUCCUGGCAUCCACCCUUCCAUUGAGACCAUUUUUGAUGAGGAUUUGGUGAAGAGAAGACGGAUCGAUGACGUGCCAGAUGUAUCUCUUAAGUCUUUGCUGGAUCUUUUCCUGUUUCUUAAGGACAUGACUUUCAAAUACUGUUCUAAAUGGCGCAGAUAUACUUUUUAGGAACUUAGGAGCAAAAACAGAAAGGGGACGAGGAUACAUGGAGUUCACAACAUGAGAACAAAGGAAGACCAAACAAUAAAUACAUGCACAGGACAACAAGAAGCUAUGAAGCAGGUGGGGAAACCGCUGGCAACAUUAUAGGAAGAUGAGACAAGGUAAGCAAAACUAAAACAUAAUGCACAUGAGACAAAGACUAAAAAAUAAAACAGGAAGUGACAAAACAGCAGACACAGCGAUGGAGGCUUGACAAGACACAGGAGAGGCAGGAUGACACAAGGAAAUAAACAGAACCAGAAAACUGAAACCAGAGAAUUCUAACACUAGACACAAUGAGAACAAAGAACCGCACAGAGACAUAAUGACCUAAAUGAGAGAUUGGGAAACUAAAGAUCAAUGAAAAUAACUAACUCAGCCUUUACCAAGAAACUAGAAUCAAGUCACAUCCUGAUAUGUGAUGCCUGCCCCUAAGGCGUGGUCUGAUUGUUAGAGUUUUCUGUCUAUUAUUGUAAGUUUUUACGUUAUGAUAUAAAACAAGUUGAGGUGAUUGUUAUUGUGAGUUGGCGCUAUGUAAAAAAAAACUAAACUAGACUGGAUUAA
This is a long non-coding RNA of Oreochromis aureus, 1781 nucleotides long. RefSeq lists it as uncharacterized. Lineage: Eukaryota; Metazoa; Chordata; Actinopteri; Cichliformes; Cichlidae. The record is from RefSeq and is a predicted model, not a curated record. The transcript has 3 exons.